Molecule: long non-coding RNA, 2055 nt
Organism: Perca fluviatilis (European perch)
Lineage: Eukaryota; Metazoa; Chordata; Actinopteri; Perciformes; Percidae
Exons: 9
Source: RefSeq, a predicted model, not a curated record
CUCACUCAGCUCAACAGAAGCACCCUACCACCGUCGUUGUUGUGAAGUUAUCUGCUUGCUGGGCUACAAACAAAGCCAAAAAGAACAACAAAAGCAGUUGAGGUUAAUUAUAUAGCGUUAGUCUUAAAAAAGGUGCAUGUCCUAAUUUUGGAAAACGUCACUGCAGAGAAAGAGCAACUGACGCUCGACCAAAGUAAACUUUCCAAAUUAACGUUACUCCAAUUAGCAUCACCUGUGUCGUUCAGGGCGAUGUGCUAUUUUCAUGGCCUGUAUACAUUUCUACAUGAAACUGUUGAUUCCCCCAAGAGGUCAACAUGCUCGAGAUCCAAUUAGGUUACUACAUAUGAAAGGGAUGUCAAAUACAUUUGGAAGGUACAAGGGACAUAAGGUGAUGAGAUGGACAGUGUUUGGUGAUGCUACAAGGUGACAGUUCCAUGGAUACCCGACUGAAAGGAUGGAAGGGCUUGGAGAAGGCCGCCCCCUGCCGCCACUGAGGACAACUACACUAAUACAGACAAGAGCGCCUCAACAGUUACACACUCAAGAGUUAGGGUUUUGUCGUAUGCAACUAGCUACCAUCUCCAACGCUUGUGCAAAACAGAAAAGAAAACUGCUAAGUCAGGAGCUGGACACAAGGGUGAACGGUGUGCCGAGAGCUGGAGACACCCUGGACGAUGGAAAGAGGAAGGAGGAUCGGAUCACCUCGCCCACAGAGCCUCUCACCUCGACACACUGAGCAGGGGGACUGAAGUAUGCCAAUAUGGCCAGCUUUCAAGCAUCGCCCCUUGAAGCUCUCCCUGUGGUGAAGCUGAGGGAUCCCCCGCAUUGCACUGUGGGAAAUGCCGACUUCAGCUCCGAACCACCCUUCAGAUAUCUUAAGUGCGCCCUGGGAAGUGCGGUCCUCAGCUCUCCAGACUCAUGAAGGCCACCACCUGCUCCAGCUUGAAGGCCAGCCUCUGUUUCCGGGCUGCAUCGUCCUGCUCCAGUGAACACACAAUCUGCCAGCAGGACAGUGAGCUGCAGCCGCUCGAGGACAGGCCCGGUCUUUGGCUGGAUAAUUCUGGGCAUGUGUGAAGGAGAGAUGGAUUUGCCAGGAAGCAAGUCUUUAGAGCAAAUUGAGCAAAGGAAAAGGCAGAUUCUGUAGAAUUUUUACUGCUGUAGCAGUGAGAUCAUCCUCACCAACUGCAUCACAGUAGGGAGGUGAAAACUGGCCAACGAAUCAUCGGUUCUCCACUUCCUGCCAUCGAGAAGCACUGAAGAAGCAUCAGCAGAGAUUUCCUUCCUGAGACACAGGUUUCCAUUAGCCUACUCUCUAGGUAAGAAUGUCUUUUCUUUAAGCUGCAGCAUAAAGGAGAGCGAGGAGGAGGACAUCUCUUCCUCUACAGUGUUAACUUCCCUUUGCAGCCUUCUUUCAUAGCUGCAGAAUUCUGCCUUUAAAAUCCUCUUCCUGUCAUGACCCUUACUUUGGCAUGGUUGGACAGCAGAGUGAAGCAGAACCAGAUCAACCCUUAGUCAUUCACUACUAUAUGACGGAGGCUUUUCCAACUGAAUAAAAAAAUAAUAAAAUCUGUGUAUUACUAGGGCGCCUGGGUAGUAGCUCACCUGGUAUAGCGUGUGUCCAUAUAUAGAGGUUUACUCCUCAAUGCAGCGCCCGUGGGUUCGACUCCAACCUGUGGCCGUUUGCUGCAUGUAAUUUCCCCUCUCUCCCCUUUCAUGUCUUCAGCUGUCCUAUAAAAAUAAAGGCCUAAAAAGCCCCAAUACAGGCUUACAUUUCUGCUUGGGCAGCUCCCUACAGUAGCUAAAUUCUCUGUCCACACUGAUUGUUUUUGCAUUUGCAUACCUUCUUACAUUAUCCAAACAUAUCCAUGCAAUUUCCUCACACUUAUUUGUGUUUUUGGGAGACCAGUGACACUAACCCACACAGGACUAAUGGGUACAGUCCUGAGCCUGAAGCUCCCCAUUUGGUUCCACCCAUUCAAGCAGUGCACAUAUAUUCUCGUCCCGAGGUUUGCCUUGUGACGAAGCUACCAACACAAAUACUCUGAACUGCUUCAC